CAUCCUCCAAGGCUAAAUACUCCUGACUGACCGAUAGUGAACCAGUACCGUGAGGGAAAGGCGAAAAGAACCCCGGCGAGGGGAGUGAAAAAGAACCUGAAACCGUGUACGUACAAGCAGUGGGAGCACAGGUUUACCUGUGUGACUGCGUACCUUUUGUAUAAUGGGUCAGCGACUUAUAUUCUGUAGCAAGGUUAACCGAAUAGGGGAGCCGGAGGGAAACCGAGUCUUAAUUGGGCGUUAAGUUGCAGGGUAUAGACCCGAAACCCGGUGAUCUAGCCAUGGGCAGGUUGAAGGUUGGGUAACACUAACUGGAGGACCGAACCGACUAAUGUUGAAAAAUUAGCGGAUGACCUGUGGCUGGGGGUGAAAGGCCAAUCAAACCGGGAGAUAGCUGGUUCUCCCCGAAAGCUAUUUAGGUAGCGCCUCGUGAAUUCAUCUCCGGGGGUAGAGCACUGUUUCGGCUAGGGGGCCAUCCCGGCUUACCAACCCGAUGCAAACUGCGAAUACCGGAGAAUGUUAUCACGGGAGACACACGGCGGGU
RNAcentral lists this ribosomal RNA (544 nucleotides) under Salmonella enterica subsp. enterica serovar Anatum. Its description in RNAcentral is "partial 23S ribosomal RNA". It matches the Rfam family "Bacterial large subunit ribosomal RNA", at positions 454 to 996 of the family's 2925-position model. Lineage: Bacteria; Pseudomonadati; Pseudomonadota; Gammaproteobacteria; Enterobacterales; Enterobacteriaceae. The record is from RNAcentral.